UUUCCUUCUACAAAAGGAAAUCACAAGCUUAGUGCAAGGUAAUCUGGACAUAGCUGGAUACUUCACUAGACUUAAGAAAUUAUGGGAUGAAUUAGAUUCACUAAAUACUGAUGUAACAUGUUCUUGUAUUUGUGUAUGUGAUGGAAAAAGAAAACUAAUGAAAUCUUUGCAAGAUCAAAGGCUUUUGCAAUUUUUAAUGGGGUUAAAUGAGGUGUAUUUCCAGGUAAGGAGUAGCAUACUGAUGGAAAAUCCACUUCCCACUCUUGAUCAUGCUUAUUCUCUCUUGUUGCAAGAUGAGAAUCAGAGGGAAGUAUUUGUUAAUGCUCAAUUUCCUAGUGAAACUGUCUUUUAUGACAGGAAAGCAGAAAAGACCCUUUUCAAAAACUGGAAGACAACCUCACAGAGGAAACUUUCAAUUUCAACCUAACCCCACUCAAAAGUUUGGGCAACCUGAUCAUGCUCAGAGAUUGGGGGAAACAAACUCCACUCAGAGGUUUGGAAAUCAACCUUACAAGAACAAAGGAAAGAAGGUGAAAUAUAAUCCGAAUGUAAGAUGCCCCUAUUGUCUCAAAAAAGGACAUGAAGAGACUAUUUGUUAUAGACUGAUAGGGUUUCCUGAUGAUUUUUAAUUCACCAAUUCAAAAGGAAAUCAAGCAGGAGUAAGGGGAAAUGCAGCAGUAACAGGGGAAAUUUGUAAUGAGAGUGAGGCUGAGCCAAAUAUGUACAGCUGCAUAGAUGGAGGAGAAUUCAAUCAAAGGCAGGUCUCACAGAUCAUGAACGUAUUUAAGCAAGCUCAAUUGGGGCAAGCUAAAGCAUUAGGAUCAGAGAUUAAUGCAGAUGCAGUGGCUGGAACUAUUCUCAAAUACUCAGGAACAUGUUUUAUGACUUUUGAUCAUAAUACCUGGAUCAUAUACACAGGGGCUUCUGAGCAUAUGUGCUAUAAUUCUAGUUCAUUUUUGAGUCUUACUUCUUUACCAGCACCGGUAGCUAUAAGUUUGCCUAAUUCUUUCAAAAUCACUGUGACACACAUAGGUAGCAUCACUAUUUAGCCUAACCUUACUCUAAAUAGUGUCCUUUAUGUUCCAGAUUUCAAAUAUAAUUUGUUAUCCAUUCACAAAUUAUGUUUCCAAUUUCAAUGUUCUACAUAUUUUGAUUCUUUUGGGUGUAUGUUGUAGGCCCCUUCUAUGAAGAGGGGACAAGCUUUUGGUGAAGUAAGGAAAGGUCUCUAUGCCUUGCAACAAGCUAGUUCUAAAGUUAAGGAGUCUACUAAAAAAAGGUAAUACAGAAGAAACAAAGUUCCAGUCAUGUUUUCAAUCUCUUAUCUAAAUCUAGUGCUAUUCCUGCUAAUUUUGUCUCCAAUGUAAACCUUUGGCAUUUCAAAUUGGGAUAUUUGCCCUUAUCAGUAAUGAGAAAUUUCAAUUUCAUCAAAGUUCCCUCAAAUCCUAAUUUCUUUUGUGAUGUGUGUCCACAAGCAAGACAAACUAGACUUCCUUUUUCAACUAUUAGCAUUAAAUCAAAAAGGAUUUUUGAAUUAAUUCAUGUUGACACUUGGGGUCCUUAUAAAUGUGCUACCUAUAAUGGAUUCAAGUAUUUUCUAGCUAUAGUAGAUGACUAUAUAGUAGAGGAACUUGGACAUUCUUACUAACCACAAAGUCUAAUGCCUUUUCUUUAUUGAAAUAUUUCCUAUCCAUGGUAGAAAGACAAUUUAUGUGAAGGUGAAGUGCUCUAGAGUUGGGGAAAGGAUCAGAUAAAUCAUCUUUUCUAAAGAGAAAAGAUAUUCUCCAUCAAACAUCUUGUGUUGCUACCCCUCAACAAAAUGGAAUUGUCGAAAGAAAACAUAGACACUUGUUGGAGAUUGCAAGGGGACUCAUGUUUCAAUCAAAGGUUCCAAUCAAAUUUUGGGGGGAGUGCACUCUGACUGCUACACAUCUGAUAAACUUGUUACUUUCCAAAGUUCUUCAAGGCAUGUAUUCAUCCAGGAUGGAGAAAGGCAAUGUAUGCAGAAAUACAAGCUCUCAAGCAAAAUCAAACUUGAGAAGUGGUGAAUCUGCCUAAAGGGAAGAAACCACUUCCAGGUAAGUGGGUGUAUAAGGUCAAACACAACUCUGAUGGGAGUGUGCAGAGAUUGAAGGCUAGGUUGGUAGUAAGGGGGACAUUCAGAAGAAGGAGAAGAAGGAGGGAAUUGACUACACAAAGACAUUCUCACCUAUGGUCAAAAGGACCACUAUAAGAUGUCUCCUGAUAGUAGCUGUGAAGAGGGGAUGGAGUGUUUCUCAACUUGAUGUAAAUAAUGCCUUCUUGCAUAGAGAUUUGCAGGAAAAGGUUUACAUGCAAUUUCCACCAGGAUUGAAGCCUGAUGAUCCUGGUCAAGUUUGCUUAUUAAGGAAGUCUCUGUAUGGCCUAAAGCAAGCCUCAAGGAAAUGGUAUGCCAGGCUUGCUGGGGCAUUGCAAUUCAAAGGAUACUCUAGUUCAUUAAAUGAUUAUUCAUUAUUUAUAAGCGAUCAGGUGAUCUUGUUUCCAUUAUAGAAGUCUAUGUGGAUGACAUACUCUUGAAUGGAAAUGAUGUUUCUGAGAUUUCAUCCAUCACUACAUUUCUCAAUUCAGAAUUCAAAGUCAAAAAUCCGAGAAACAUUCACUACUUCCUAGGAAUGAAAAUUCUCAGAGAAAAGCAAGGGUUUUAAAUUAUACAGAGAUCAUUGAUCUAUUGCAGGAGUUUGAUGUAUCUGAACCUGCAGUUUUCUCUUCUUUGGACCCUUCCUGCAAUCUAUAUCAAAAUGAUUCCCCAUUAUUAGAAAAUCCCACUUAGUACAGAUAACUAGUUGGAAAACUAAACUACCUCACUCAUACUCGACCAGAUUUAUCAUUUGUGGUGUUGAUUUUAAGUUAGUUUAUGCAAAGUCCUAGUCUUUAUCAUUAUAAUGCAGCACUUCGAGUCUUGAGGUACCUUCGAGCAGAUCCGGUACAAGGAAUCCUACUCUCAGCUGAUCCAUUCCUUGAUUUGUUGGCCUUUUGUGACGUAGAUUGGAGUUCUUGCAAGGAUAUAAGAAGAUGUGUAAAUGGAUUUUACAUUGCUCUAGGUGGAGCACCUAUUUCAUGGAAAUCAGAGAAGAAAGUCUCGGUAUCACUAUCUUCUGCAGAAGUAGAGUAUAGAUCUAUGCGUAGAGUGACUGCAGAAAUUACCUGGUUGGUGCGACUCUUGGAUGAUCUAUCCGCACCACCGAUUUUGCUGAUUCCUAUUCAUUCCGACAGUCAGGCUGCUCUUCAUAUUGCCAAAAAUUCGGUCUUUCAUGAACGAACGAAGUAUGUGGAGUUGGACUAUAGUAGACACGCAAUUUUAUCCCUCUCCGAAAGCAUUUUUUACCGUUUACCCCAUCUUACCACGUAACCUAUCCGCGUGGUAAUUUUUCCACAAGAAAAUAAAAUAAAUAACCCCCUCAUCAUUUUUUUUAAUCUUUAUCACAUUUAACAAAUUCUAACAAAUUUUAUCUUCUUUUAAACAUCCUAGCAACCUAUCCUACCCCACCUCCUACCUCACUGCCCUGCCAACCCCAUACCCCACGUAUCCUUUUUACUCUUUUUUCUAUUGGUAACAAACUCAUAACAAAAAACAUCACACCAAGACAAAAAAAAUGACCCCAUAGAUGUUCCCCAUAACAGAAUAAUAUACACCCUCAGGAUUUUCCAUUGGGUGGGGGGACCACACAAUGAUUCACAAUUUCACUCUCUCCUUACAAUAUAUACACACUCAUAUUCACGAGGAAGAGGGGAAAAAACCCAUCUGACUUUCACUUAAAAAUCCCACAUACCCAUAUACACUACACUCUCAAUUCCAUCGAAAGACAACCAUUAACGCACCUAAUUAACGACAGAUGCACAAACACACGAAAAUGGAGUGAGGGUGAAGCGAGGUCAAGAGAAAAAUAGAGAAAAAGAGAGGAUCAAAGCGGAAAGAGUGAGAUUCAAGGUUGAGAGAUAAAAACAGAGAGAAAAAGUCGAGAGAGAAAUUUGGACAAGUUUAUUGAUACAAGUUGGGGAACUGAAAAUGAAGUGAAGCAUAGCUGAAAUCAACAAAUUAGUUAGAAGUAGUUAAACUGUAUUAGAAUUCAAAAUUUUGUUUUUACUGUUCAUUGCAGUUAACUGUAGCUCAAGUCACAUGGGUAGUUAAUUGGUUAGAGAGUUAGUUACAACUGUCAAGUGGGAUUGUUAGCUAUAAAAUCAAGCAUUACUGGUGUAAGCAUUCAUUCAUAAAUAAUAUCUCAAGUUUAUCUCUUCUA
Molecule: long non-coding RNA, 4274 nt
Organism: Capsicum annuum
Lineage: Eukaryota; Viridiplantae; Streptophyta; Magnoliopsida; Solanales; Solanaceae
Exons: 2
Source: RefSeq, a predicted model, not a curated record